Molecule: unclassified non-coding RNA, 446 nt
Filed under: Hevea brasiliensis (rubber tree)
Lineage: Eukaryota; Viridiplantae; Streptophyta; Magnoliopsida; Malpighiales; Euphorbiaceae
Source: RNAcentral
AAAAAAAUAAAACAAAAAAAUAAAAUAAUUGGGGGAUCAUUAUAGAGAACAUAAAGCCAAAGCAUUCAAUAAUAAACAUCACAUAUGAACCUUCUUAAGCAAGACACAAGACAAAGAAAACUAUUUUGAGAAAUGAAGGAAACUUAUAAAUCAAUUAUACAUACACAGAAGCUACAUGUGAACUUAAACAGGAUUAUAGUAUUCUAAUCUACAUCAAAACAUACAAAACCAAAAUUAAAACAAGCAUACAACUCUUGCUCUUCUUAUCUGUAUCUAAUAGGACUCCAAAAUAAAUACUAAUAAAAGCAAAGCAAAGAUAGGAGAAGUUGCUAAUGAGAGAAAGUAAAAGAUCAUUCUUGUGUCUAAUUUAAACAUAUUCAAGUUUCAAUCCGACAUUGUUAGGCAUAAAUUACUCGCCUUUAACUUGUAAAAUUACCACACUUAAA